Molecule: ribosomal RNA, 274 nt
Filed under: uncultured bacterium
Lineage: Bacteria
Description: partial 16S ribosomal RNA
Rfam family: Bacterial small subunit ribosomal RNA
Source: RNAcentral
AUACGGAGGGUGCAAGCGUUACUCGGAAUCACUGGGCGUAAAGCGCGCGCAGGCGGUCUUUUAAGUUGGAUGUGAAAGCCUACGGCUCAACCGUAGAACUGCAUCCAAAACUAUUAGACUAGAGUGUGGGAGAGGAAGAUGGAAUUAGUUGUGUAGGGGUAAAAUCCGUAGAGAUAACUAGGAAUACCAAAAGCGAAGGCAAUCUUCUGCAACACUACUGACGCUGAGGCGCGAAGGCGUGGGGAGCAAACAGGAUUAGAAACCCCGGUAGUCC